UACAGAGGCCUCGAGCGUUAGGCGGAAUCACUGGGCUUAAAGCGUGUGUAGGCGGAUUGCUAAGUACCUUGUGAAAUCCCACGGCUUAACCGUGGAACUGCUUGGUAUACUGGCUGUCUUGAGCCACUUAGGGGCGACCGGAACAAACGGUGGAGCGGUGAAAUGCGUAGAUAUCGUUUGGAACGCCAAAGGUGAAAACAGGUCGCUGGGAGUGUGCUGACGCUGAGACACGAAAGCCAGGGGAGCAAGCGGG
RNAcentral lists this ribosomal RNA (253 nucleotides) under uncultured bacterium. RNAcentral describes it as "partial 16S ribosomal RNA". It matches the Rfam family "Bacterial small subunit ribosomal RNA", at positions 524 to 776 of the family's 1533-position model. The record is from RNAcentral.